This 293-nucleotide ribosomal RNA is filed under the name uncultured bacterium. RNAcentral's name for it is "partial 16S ribosomal RNA". It matches the Rfam family "Bacterial small subunit ribosomal RNA", at positions 504 to 796 of the family's 1533-position model. The record is from RNAcentral.
UGUGCCAGCAGCCGCGGUAAUACGUAGGUGGCAAGCGUUGUCCGGAUUUGCUGGGCGUAAAGGAUGCGUAGGCGGAUAUUUAAGUGAGAUGUGAAAUUCCCGGGCUUAACUUGGGAGCUGCAUUUCAAACUGGAUAUCUAGAGUGUGGGAGAGGAGAAUGGAAUUCCUAGUGUAGCGGUGAAAUGCGUAGAGAUUAGGAAGAACACCAGUGGCGAAGGCGAUUCUCUGGACCAUAACUGACGCUGAGGCAUGAAAGCGUGGGUAGCAAACAGGAUUAGAAACCCCGGUAGUCC